This is a non-coding RNA of Heterocephalus glaber (naked mole-rat), 838 nucleotides long. The record is from RefSeq and is a predicted model, not a curated record. NCBI's taxonomy places the organism in Eukaryota, Metazoa, Chordata, Mammalia, Rodentia, Bathyergidae.
UCUAGUUUCCUUGGGAAGAGCAGACAUCCUUGGGACUGCAGGAGAUACCACAGGAGGAUGGAGAAUGUACCACCAGGAGCCAGAAUUACAGUGGCACCUCUGUUCAUGAGCUUAAUUCAUCCCACAAUCCUGGGGAAGACAGCCACAGUCAUGUUCACCAUUUGAUAAGGAGUUUGUGAAUGGAAACAAAAUUUUGCCCAGAGCUUCUGUUUGCCAACUGAAUUGUUCACAAACAGAAGCAUCUGUGAGCCGAGACAGGGUCUUACUAUGUAGCCCAGGCUGAUCUUGAACUCCCUGUGAUUCUCCUACUUUAGCUUCCUGAUUGCUGGGAUUACAGGCGUGUGCCACCUCACCUGAGACUUGUGAGAGGGCAGCUGAACCCAGAAGACCCCUGCUGCCUGUUGUUGAGUGGGAACUAUCCCUGGUGAGUGCCACUUUGGGCACCAAUGCCCGUGAGGAGUGCCAGCUCCAUCUCUGGUCUCUAGAAACUCAUCAGCACAGAUUGGAAAAGUGUUACAUGGCUGGAUAGAGUUGCAGGGGGACCAUCCAAACAGGCUUAUGAAACAAGAGUCAUUAACAAGAAAAGUCACCCAGAGUAUUCUUUGUCAAGAACUGGGUGGUACAGAACUGGCCCUGAAAAUGUUAAGAUCAAUUGACUGAGUGGGUCUCUCCUGGAAGACAGUGAGACCCCAUUACCCUAUCAGGGAUGGAGCAGGGGCCCUGGGGCAUGCUAACCUGCAAAUGUUUGAAACAUUUAAAGGAAGAGAGGAAGCAAGAGUGAAUUGGCCCCCCAGAAAUGUUAGUGCAAAGACUGGCAAACUACAGUUCACAGGGCACA